RNAcentral lists this ribosomal RNA (497 nucleotides) under uncultured bacterium. Its description in RNAcentral is "partial 16S ribosomal RNA". It matches the Rfam family "Bacterial small subunit ribosomal RNA", at positions 28 to 507 of the family's 1533-position model. The record is from RNAcentral.
GAUGAACGCUGGCGGCGUGCCUAAUACAUGCAAGUCGAGCGAACGGACGAGAAGCUUGCUUCUCUGAUGUUAGCGGCGGACGGGUGAGUAACACGUGGAUAACCUACCUAUAAGACUGGGAUAACUUCGGGAAACCGGAGCUAAUACCGGAUGAUAUUUUGAACCGCAUGGUUCAAAAGUGAAAGACGGUCUUGCUGUCACUUAUAGAUGGAUCCGCGCUGCAUUAGCUAGUUGGUAAGGUAACGGCUUACCAAGGCAACGAUGCAUAGCCGACCUGAGAGGGUGAUCGGCCACACUGGAACUGAGACACGGUCCAGACUCCUACGGGAGGCAGCAGUAGGGAAUCUUCCGCAAUGGGCGGAAGCCUGACGGAGCAACGCCGCGUGAGUGAUGAAGGUCUUCGGAUCGUAAAACUCUGUUAUUAGGGAAGAACAUAUGUGUAAGUAACUGUGCACAUCUUGACGGUACCUAAUCAGAAAGCCACGGCUAACUACGCG